This 550-nucleotide ribosomal RNA is filed under the name bacterium BaP2-73. RNAcentral's name for it is "bacterial SSU rRNA". It matches the Rfam family "Bacterial small subunit ribosomal RNA", at positions 79 to 616 of the family's 1533-position model. The record is from RNAcentral.
GCUUCUUUGACGUUAGCGGCGGACGGCCGAGUAACACGUGGGCGACCUGCGUGUGGGAGUGGGAUAACUUCGGGAAACCGAAGCUAAUACCGGAUAGGAUCUUCUCCUUCAUGGGAGAUGAUUGAAAGAUGGUUUCGGCUAUCACUUACAGAUGGGCCCGCGGAGCAUUAGCUAGUUGGUGAGGUAACGGCUCACCAAGGCAACGAUGCAUAGCCGACCUGAGAGGGUGAUCGGCCACACUGGGACUGAAACACGGCCCAGACUCCUACGGGAGGCAGCAGUAGGGAAUCUUCCGCAAUGGACGAAAGUCUGACGGAGCAACGCCGCGUGAGUGAUGAAGGCUUUCGGGUCGUAAAACUCUGUUGUUAGGGAAGAACAAGUACGAGAGUAACUGCUCGUACCUUGACGGUACCUAACCAGAAAGCCACGGCUAACUACGUGCCAGCAGCCGCGGUAAUACGUAGGUGGCAAGCGUUAUCCGGAAUUAUUGGGCGUAAAGCGCGCGCAGGCGGUUUCUUAAGUCUGAUGUGAAAGCCCACGGCUCAACCGU